This 510-nucleotide ribosomal RNA is filed under the name uncultured bacterium. RNAcentral's name for it is "partial 16S ribosomal RNA". It matches the Rfam family "Bacterial small subunit ribosomal RNA", at positions 28 to 507 of the family's 1533-position model. The record is from RNAcentral.
GACGAACGUUGGCGGCGUGCUUAACACAUGCCAGUCGAACGGAAAGGGAUUGAAGCUUGCUUCUAUCCGUCUUAGUGGCGAACGGGUGAGUCACGCGUAAUCAACCUUCCCUUCUGAGGGGGACACCAGUUGGAAACGACUGCUCAUACCGCAUACGCCCUAAACUCGGCAUCGAUGGUAGAUGAAAGGUGGCCGCUACAUGUAAGCUGUCACUGCAGGUGGGGGUUGCGGCUGUUUAGCUAGUUGGAGGGGUAACGGCGCACGAAGGCGAUGAUCAGGAGUCGGUCUGAGAGGAUGGACGGCCACACUGGGACUGAGACACGGCCCAGUCGCCUUCGGGAGGCAGCAGUAGGGAAUCGUGCGCAAUGGACGAGAGUCUGACGGAGCAACGCCGCGGGAGGGAGGACGGCCUUCGGGUUGUAAAGGUCGGUUAUUCGGGUGGAAAGGGCUUCUUGCGAAUAGUGAGAAGGAUUGACGGUACCGGAAUAGAAAGCAACGGCUAACUACGUG